UGGGGAAUAUUGGGCAAUGGGGGGAACCCUGACCCAGCAACGCCGCGUGAAGGAAGAAGGUUUUCGGAUUGUAAACUUCUGUCCUUGGUGAAGAGGAAGAGACGGUAGCCAAGGAGGAAGCCCCGGCUAACUACGUGCCAGCAGCCGCGGUCAUACGUAGGGUGCAAGCAUUAUCCGGAGUGACUGGGCGUAAAGAGUUGCGUAGGUGGUUUGUUAAGUAGGUAGUGAAAUCUGACGGCUCAACCGUACAGGCUAUUACCUAAACUGGCAAACUCGAGAAUGGUAGAGGUAACUGGAAUUUCUUGUGUAGGAGUGAAAUCCGUAGAUAUAAGAAGGAACACCAAUGGCGUAGGCAGGUUACUGGACCAUUUCUGACACUGAGGCACGAAAGCGUGGGGAGCGAACGGG
Molecule: ribosomal RNA, 408 nt
Filed under: uncultured prokaryote
Description: bacterial SSU rRNA
Rfam family: Bacterial small subunit ribosomal RNA
Source: RNAcentral